ACCGGAACAAGCUCCGAUCCUCGCGGAGAGGAGCGCAUUUGUUCGCCACAAAACCAAGCGCCCUUCUGGGCGUCCAGUGCUGAACCAGAACAACUCAGCUGAUCGCACGGUCUUGCACCGGCGACGUGUCUUUCAAGUGUCUGCCUUAUCAACUUUCGAUGGUAGUGUACCUGACUACCAUGGUUGUGACGGGUAACGGAGGAUAAGGGUUCGACUCCGGAGAAGGGGCCUGAGAAAUGGCCACUACGUCUAAGGAUGGCAGCAGGCGCGCAAAUUACCCACUCUCAACGCGAGGAGGUAGUGACGAGAAAUAACAAGACCGUUCUCUUAUGAGGCCGGUUAUUGGAAUGGGUACAAUUUAAACCCUUUAACGAGUAUCUAUGAGAGGGCAAGUCUGGUGCCAGCAGCCGCGGUAAUUCCAGCUCUCAAAAUGCAUAGAAUUAUUGCUGCGGUUAAAAAGCUCGUAGUUGGAUCUGUGCCGACUGGCCGGUCCACCCACUGGGUGUGCACUGGUUCGGUUGGCUUUUCCGCCGGAGUGCCUGGCGUUGGUGUGCUCGUCAGGGUGUGCCAGCGCGGGUCCGGCAAGUUUACUUUGAACAAAUCAGAGUGCUUCAAACAGGCGUCUCGCCUGAAUGUUCGUGCAUGGAAUAAUAGAAGAGGAUUUCGGUCCGAUUUUAUUGGUUUUGCUGACCGAGAUAAUGGUUAACAGAGACAAACGGGGCCAUUCGUAUUGCUGCGUGAGAGGUGAAAUUCUUGGACCGUAGCAAGACGGACUACAGCGAAAGCAUUUGGCAAGAAUGUCUUCAUUAAUCAAGAACGAAAGUCAGAGGUUCGAAGGCGAUCAGAUACCGCCCUAGUUCUGACCGUAAACGAUGCCAACUAGCGAUCCGCCGGCGGAUUCAUUCGCCCUGGUGGGGAGCUUCCCGGAAACGAAAGUCUUCCGGUUCCGGGGGAAGUAUGGUUGCAAAGCUGAACUUAAAGGAAUUGACGGAAGGCACC
RNAcentral lists this ribosomal RNA (999 nucleotides) under Helicotylenchus digitiformis. Its description in RNAcentral is "SSU rRNA". It matches the Rfam family "Eukaryotic small subunit ribosomal RNA", at positions 169 to 1168 of the family's 1831-position model. Lineage: Eukaryota; Metazoa; Nematoda; Chromadorea; Rhabditida; Hoplolaimidae. The record is from RNAcentral.